UCCUCCCUCGGGCGGCGUGCUUAACACAUGCAAGUCGAACGAAGAGCGAUGGAAGCUUGCUUCUCUCAAUCUUAGUGGCGAACGGGUGAGUAACGCGUAAUCAACCUGCCCUUCAGAGGGGGACAACAGUUGGAAACGACUGCUAAUACCGCAUACGAUCCAAUCUCGGCAUCGGGACUGGAUGAAAGGUGGCCUCUAUUUAUAAGCUAUCACUGAAGGAGGGGAUUGCGUCUGAUUAGCUAGUUGGAGGGGUAACGGCCCACCAAGGCGAUGAUCAGUAGCCGGUCUGAGAGGAUGAACGGCCACAGUGGGACUGAGACACGGCCCAGACUCCUACGGGAGGCAGCAGUGGGGAAUCUUCCGCAAUGGACGAAAGUCUGACGGAGCAACGCCGCGUGAGUGAGGACGGCCUUCGGGUUGUAAAGCUCUGUUAAUCGGGACGAAUGGUUCUUGUGCGAAUAGUGCGAGGAUUUGACGGUACCGGAAUAGAAAGCCACGGCUAGCUACGUG
Molecule: ribosomal RNA, 510 nt
Filed under: uncultured bacterium
Lineage: Bacteria
Description: partial 16S ribosomal RNA
Rfam family: Bacterial small subunit ribosomal RNA
Source: RNAcentral